AAGGGGUUUUUAAAGAAAAAAUGAAAAAGACUCCCCCUCACUAUAGCAAUCAUAAAGGACAUUUCAAUUUGCUCAUAUAGAAGAUAUUGCCAUUCAUAAUAUUUCAUAGCACAUAUAUGAGGUAUUUUUUAUAUCAUAUAAUUAAGAUAUUUUAAUUGAUGUCAUUUAUAAAAAUCAAUCAAAAUGACAUUCAUAGAAGUUAAAAGUAUAUAUAUAUAUAUCCAAAAUAUG
This 231-nucleotide long non-coding RNA is filed under the name Elaeis guineensis (African oil palm). Its description in RNAcentral is "long non-coding RNA (EGUI_LNC049840)". Lineage: Eukaryota; Viridiplantae; Streptophyta; Magnoliopsida; Arecales; Arecaceae. The record is from RNAcentral.